Molecule: ribosomal RNA, 420 nt
Filed under: uncultured bacterium
Lineage: Bacteria
Description: bacterial SSU rRNA
Rfam family: Bacterial small subunit ribosomal RNA
Source: RNAcentral
AAGGAAUAUUGGUCAAUGGACGCAAGUCUGAACCAGCCAUGCCGCGUGAAGGAUGAAGGUCCUCUGGAUUGUAAACUUCUUUUAUCUGGGACGAAAACGGGAUUUUUAUCUCAAUUGACGGUACCAGAGGAAUAAGCACCGGCUAACUACGUGCCAGCAGCCGCGGUAAUACGUAGGGUGCGAGCGUUAAUCGGAAUUACUGGGCGUAAAGCGUGCGCAGGCGGCUCUGUAAGACAGAUGUGAAAUCCCCGGGCUCAACCUGGGAACUGCAUUUGUGACUGCAAGGCUAGAGUGCGUCAGAGGGAGGUGGAAUUCCGCGUGUAGCAGUGAAAUGCGUAGAGAUGCGGAGGAACACCGAUGGCGAAGGCAGCCUCCUGGGAUGACACUGACGCUCAUGCACAAAAGCGUGGGGAGCAAACA